RNAcentral lists this ribosomal RNA (231 nucleotides) under uncultured bacterium. Its description in RNAcentral is "partial 16S ribosomal RNA". It matches the Rfam family "Bacterial small subunit ribosomal RNA", at positions 104 to 334 of the family's 1533-position model. The record is from RNAcentral.
CGGGGGUGGAGUAAUGCUUGGGAAUCUAGCUUAUGGAGGGGGAUAACUACGGGAAACUGUAGCUAAUACCGCGUAGUAUCGGAAGAUGAAAGUGUGGGACCUUCGGGCCACAUGCCAUAGGAUGAGCCCAAGUGGGAUUAGGUAGUUGGUGAGGUAAAGGCUCACCAAGCCGACGAUCUCUAGCUGGUCUGAGAGGAUGACCAGCCACACUGGGACUGAGACACGGCCCAG